GGCGGAGUGCGGAGGCACCGCUAGGCGGAGGAGGGAGGCGGCGGCGAGGGAGGCUCCAGUGCUCGCCCGGAACCUUGUUGCCAGGGGAGACCGGGCGCUUUACGGCAGCGCGUUUGAACGGCGGCGGGGGAAAAAGUUGCGCCCGCAGCUCCAAUGGGGAGACAAACAGCUGGACGAGUGUGACGCUGUUCUUGCUGAACCUGCCGUUCUUGCGCUUUCCUGAGUCAUACUUCCCGCUUUCGCGAAGAGGAGAAGAGGUAUAAAAUUCUAUGCCCCUAAAAGAAAAUAAUAAAGGGAAAGGAGCAAUUUUUUCACGAAUAAUUAAUGGAAGACCUCCUUUGGGCUUAAUAAGCUUAUUUAAUGUGUUAAAAAUUAAA
Long non-coding RNA from Neopelma chrysocephalum (saffron-crested tyrant-manakin), 377 nucleotides. RefSeq lists it as uncharacterized. The record is from RefSeq and is a predicted model, not a curated record. Lineage: Eukaryota; Metazoa; Chordata; Aves; Passeriformes; Pipridae. The transcript has 3 exons.